Cyprinus carpio (common carp) is the source of this 1721-nucleotide long non-coding RNA. The record is from Ensembl. NCBI's taxonomy places the organism in Eukaryota, Metazoa, Chordata, Actinopteri, Cypriniformes, Cyprinidae.
AUGGAUCUUCAUUUAGUUAUUCUGUUCUGUGCCUCAACCGCUGCUGUCUUUGGGAAUGUCAUUAAACCAAACCAACCAGAUGUUUUUGCUGAGAAGGGUUCAAGUGUUCCAUUGUCAUGUAGUUAUUCUGCAUCUGGAGGUAGUGAUUAUCUCUACUGGUACCGUCAGUAUGGAAGAUCAAAACCUGAAUUUCUUGUACUCACCUACAGCAGUGCAAAAAAAGCUGAAGUGUCUGAUGUAGAUCCAAGAUUCACUGUUAACAAUACAAAAAAAGAUCAUGUGGAUCUGGAGAUCUCCUCUGCUGCUGUAUCAGACUCUGCUCUGUACUACUGUGCUCUGAGGCCCACCGUGACAGGAAACACAUCAGCUCUCUACAAAAACCUGCUACAAUGAGAGACAGGAAAGAAACACAGAGACAAACAGAACAUUUGUGACAAAGAAGCUAGUAUACAAAUAUUUAAAUAAUCUAAUGCAAAAGGGACCAAAACAUAAAGCAAAAAUCAACAUUCUAAAGUGAGUCAAAAAUUAUGUUUAAUUUGUUAAUAAGUGAAAUGCCAAUAUUAUGCAAUACUUGCAGGUAACCAUAGGAUGGCAGUAAGCACUCAAUAUUACCUUUGAGAAUACAGCUUUUUUUUUUUUUUGAAUCAUCCUCAUCAUAUCAAAAGCAAAACAUUUGCAUUCACUGAUUUAUAUUUAAAGUGUAUUCAACAUAGACAGUCAUGUCACACAGGUUGAGGAAUAUACUUCUUUUCACACUAUUUCUUGGUAUGCAUUUUAUAUAACUGCACUUUUAAUUGUUUUCCAUUUAAUAUUCUUAAACCUUUUCAAAGUGCAGAUCAGAGGAUAUGGUUGAUCAACCAGACAAACAUCUGACUGAAGUUGAAAGAAGAUCAAUGAUAUAUGACACAGAUUCAAUAUGAGAUUUUUUUUUUUCCUGUUUUGAACAAUCAUAAAAAUGGUUGGAAAAGAUUGAUCACACACAAUCAAAUAAUAUACAAAAUACAUUACACCAUAUGAAUGAAAGUGAACAGCAGCAGGAAGUUCAGAGAGGAUGAAGUUCCUGUGUGUGUGUUUGUGACUGAUCUGCAGUGACUUACAGCUCAGAGCACUGAGAGCCUCAACAGAGAACUGAACUGAUCUGAUUGAACAUGGACAGAUGCUUCAUACUGAUUCUCAUUGUGGGAACAGGUCAAUUUUUUUUAGAUAACUACAAUAGUAUUUUGUCAACCUUGCUUUCAUAAUUCAAAAAUAAGUUUAUUUGUGCUUAUUGUUGACAGGUUUGGUGACUGGAGACAGCAUUGAGCCAGAUAAAGGGACAGAAAAAAACUCUCAAGAAACAGAAACUGUAAAGCUGAGCUGCUCAUGUAGCACAAGUAGCGAUUAUACUUAUCUUUACUGGUUCAGACAGUAUCCUAAUGGAGAACCCCAAUAUCUAUUAAACAAAAAUGUACGGUCAGAGAAUGAUGCACACACCUCUGAUCCUCGGUUUCAGUCGAUUGCAUCACGUACAUCCACUGAACUCACUAUUACUGAUGUACGUCUGUCAGAUUCAGCUCUCUAUUAUUGUGCUCUAAGAGUAGCAGCCCAGUGAUACAAAACAUGAGACAUGUCAUACAAAAACCUGAAGCUCUUUUCUCUUUGAACUUAUCGAGUAAAAACCACAAUCAAAACCAAAAUCUAUAAUGCCCCCAAUGUAAUAAAAAAACAUGGUAACACCUGCA